Long non-coding RNA from Daucus carota subsp. sativus, 1117 nucleotides. RefSeq lists it as uncharacterized. Lineage: Eukaryota; Viridiplantae; Streptophyta; Magnoliopsida; Apiales; Apiaceae. The record is from RefSeq and is a predicted model, not a curated record. The transcript is spliced from 3 exons.
CUAAUACAUACAUCACCGACUCAUUACACUCUCCUCUCUCACAAUACACUUUUCUCUCUCUCUUCCGAUGCUCGACGGCCGACGCUCGACUCGUCUGCUCAGAUCAUUCCUGUCACUGAAUCUUCGGCGAUCCACGACCACCAGCGUACCGGUCGGUCACCUCUCUGUCUACGCUGGAAACGAAAUGGAGCGGUUAAUUCGAGCUGAUAAAUCACCUAAUCUUCAUCCAAUUGCUCAACAAAUCGGCUCAAGUGUGUGGUUACAAGCAGAAAGGCGUGCUUCGGACCCCUGCGACGUCGUCUGCUUCGAGAGAGUUGAAUUAGGGCGUUGAGAAGCUGAAUGCAUUUAAGUGGAUGACUGGAGUCUGGAUGGUGGUAUUCUGGUGUGCCAUCACGUUCCUCUUAAGAUUGCGGAUGUGGGUCUCGGAAUCUCGGUCUCUGGGAAGGGCUUUUACUGUGCAUCUGUGCCUCUUAAGAGUUAUACUCAUGAGGACCUAUUUGUGAUUGACUUGUCUCUGGAGCCAUCUUUGUAAUAAUUAUUGUCCAGCGUUACACUAGACUAAAAAAUUAUAGCUAUUGUAACGAAAUAAAGGUAACGUUUCAAAACAAACGUUACAUAUGGGCACUUAUGGCGUAGUAAAGUAACAUGCCUGCCAAGUGAAGAAAGAUUGGGAGAAGAAAGAAUGAGAUACAAAGUGAAGAUUAUUUAUGUUAUUGAUCUGUAUGAACUUCAUGAAGGAAGAAAACAUAGCUGUUAGAAAUUGGUUGUCAAUUUUGCCCUUACAGAUAGCCGUUUUAUAGCUGUUAGAAGGGUAAAAUAUGUAAAUAACAAUAAUAUCUCUUUUGGCAAAUCACAUGGAUGGAAAGCUGAAAAGUGGAACCUGGAAGCCUGCAGCGUGCACAUAUUCACAUGGAGCAGCAGGCCAUCAAUGCAUCACAACAUUAUUUUAUAUUUGUGUAAUUAAUAACUAUAGGUGUGUAUUAUAUUGUCCACUGUUGUAAUGACUAAUAAUUGUAGAUUGCACAGGCUCUGUACAAUGUAGUAUAUUAAGAGCAUCUCCAAUAGUCUCUUAACUCGCUCCUAAAUAUAAUAUAAAAUAUUGACUCUUAGUGAUUUA